CCCACGGGAGGCAGCAGUGGGGAAUAUUGCACAAUGGGGGAAACCCUGAUGCAGCGACGCCGCGUGAGUGAAGAAGUAUUUCGGUAUGUUAAGCUCUUUCAGCAGGGAAGAAAAUGACGGUACCUGAUUAAGAAGCCCCAGCUACCUACGUGCCAGCAGCCGCGGUAAUACGUAGGGGGCAAGCGUUAUCCGGAGUGACUGGGUGUAAAGGGAGCGUAGAUGGCUGCGCAAGUCUGAAGUGAAAUGCCUGGGCUUAACCCCGGCACUGCUUUGGAAACUGUGCAGCUAGAGUGCAGGAGAGGUAAGUGGAAUUCCUAGUGUAGCGGUGAAAUGCGUAGAUAUUAGGAGGAACACCAGUGGCGAAGGCAGCUUACUGGACUGUAACUGACGUUGAGGCUCGAAAGCGUGGGGAGCAAACAGGAUUAGAUACCCUGGUAGUC
RNAcentral lists this ribosomal RNA (440 nucleotides) under uncultured bacterium. RNAcentral describes it as "partial 16S ribosomal RNA". It matches the Rfam family "Bacterial small subunit ribosomal RNA", at positions 338 to 795 of the family's 1533-position model. The record is from RNAcentral.